Alosa sapidissima (American shad) is the source of this 1867-nucleotide long non-coding RNA. RefSeq lists it as uncharacterized. Lineage: Eukaryota; Metazoa; Chordata; Actinopteri; Clupeiformes; Clupeidae. The record is from RefSeq and is a predicted model, not a curated record. The transcript is spliced from 3 exons.
CGGUUUGACACAUUUCUCUGAUCAUGUGAUUUCAGAAUUGUGCAAGUUGCUGGGUGUGGCCUUUGUAGACUGAGCAUGCUCAGAGCAGCUUUAGCUCCAGGCAGUAAAAGAUAACGGCAAGCUACCGCUUCCUGCUGCUACUCUACCUUCGUCUACUCUACCUUCGUCUUACUGCCGUUUAUCCACAAGCUGUGCUGCGCUUUGGUCACGCUACCUGUGAGAGAGCUAAGACAAGAUAUAAAAGAAACACAUUAACAGGACAACGGAAGGCUUCAAUCCAAGGAGGAAUGUCCCGUCACACGGUUAAAAAAUAAUCAUAAAAAGAAAUCAGGCCCUCGGCCACAGCACCAGAGGACACUAAAUAGCAAACAACAGAAUUACCCAGAGGCAGGCAAGGGUCAAGUCCAAGUACACCAUCCAGCUGAGCAGAUCAUUAACAGAAAAAGCCAAACAAGAGACAGAGUCGUCCUGACCCCACAUUGUGUUGCUUAGCAGCAGAAGAUAAAACUUUGAUGAAGGCCUGCAAUCCAAACCAAAAGCUCGGAAUUCAAACUGCUCCGCAGACUCUGCAGAGGACACCUUUAACUUGGGGGGAGAAACUUUGAAACAAGUCCAGAAGAGAAGACCGAGCAAAGAACUGCAGCCGCAACAUCUUGUCAACAGAUUGUGAAAAAGUGGUUAAGCAUUUUUGCCGUAAUGAAGGACGAUAACAGGACAAUAGCAGGAGCGGUUAUCGGAGGAGUAGUUGGACUCUCGCUCUCUCCACACGAGUUCAGUUUGGGACUGAGUCCACUUGCUGUUGUAGUUGUUGUCUUUUUUCUUGCUCUUCUGGGUGCCCUUUUCAGUGCUCUUUUUGUUUUCAUUGCAACGAUAGGCUUUACUCCGGUGUUCAUUUUCUUCGGUCUUGGAUUUGCUCUUCUGGGUGCUCUCUCUGGUGUUCUGUUAGGUGCUUUUGCAGUUUUAGUCGACGGUGCCGAUGCUGUGUGUGUUUUUGCGGGUGCAGCAGCUCUUGUGUUUCUAGGAGCUUCUCUUGUAGGUGCGGGGGCUCCUGUGCGUGCUCUUGCAGGAGCUGUUUUUGGAGCCCUUGCACACACGGCGGCUGCUCUAGGUGGCGCCACUGUUAUAAAAGCAGCAGCUCUUCUGGGUGCUCUUGCAGGGGCUCUGUUCCCCCUUGCGUGUGUGCUCAGGAAACCCCGCCAUGCCGAUUCUAGCGUCACUAUAUUAACAUUAUUAAUUGACAAGAUGCUUCCGUUCGCUCUUUCAGGGGCUGUUAUAGGGGCUGCUUUAGGUUUUCUUGCAGGUGUAAUCACCUUCGUCGGUGCCUCUGGAGUUGCUUUCUCUCUUGCGGGUGCUGUUGUAGGUGCUGUUGUAGUGCUCAUGAGCAAGGGUGGAGUGGGACACUAGAUACUACCGGCAGUGCUGUAGACUAGUUAGCUAGAUAGUAGUGGGUAUAAUGUGAUCAACCCCAAAUGUUAAUACGUAUCCUUGCCUAUUUUAAGUGGGUAUACUGAGAUGGUGAUGCUUUUUAAGUGGGUAUACUGAGAUGGUGAUGCUUUUUAAGUGGGUAUACUGCGUAGUCCUGCGUAUCACGUAGACUACAACACUGACCCCCUGGACAUUCCCAUACACAUUCGUUAUUUGUCCACACAUUAUGUGAAUGAGGGUACACAGGAAUAAAGGUGGAAAUAGUUUUUGCUUUAUUUGUUGCGACACAGACAACCAAUCACAACAAGCUGAGUUGUACAUUAUAUAGGUUGGAGUAUGAAUGUGGAGCUCUAUAUGUAUAUAAGUGAAACUAAUUGAGUUGAGAUUCUUCAAAAUUCUUUCAAAAUGAUUUCAAAUGUCAAACUUUUAAAUAGUUUUAUUU